RNAcentral lists this ribosomal RNA (440 nucleotides) under uncultured bacterium. RNAcentral describes it as "partial 16S ribosomal RNA". It matches the Rfam family "Bacterial small subunit ribosomal RNA", at positions 339 to 795 of the family's 1533-position model. The record is from RNAcentral.
CUACGGGUUGCACCAGUGGGGAAUAUUGCACAAUGGAGGGAACUCUGAUGCAGCAACGCCGCGUGGAGGAUGACACAUUUCGGUGCGUAAACUCCUUUUAUAUAAGAAGAUAAUGACGGUAUUAUAUGAAUAAGCACCGGCUAACAUCCGUGCCAGCAGCCGCGGUAAUACGGGGGGUGCAAGCGUUACUCGGAAUCACUGGGCGUAAAGAGCAUGUAGGCUGGUUUGUUAGUUGGAAGUGAAAUCCUAUGGCUUAACCAUAGAACUGCUUCCAAAACUACUUACCUAGAGUAUGGGAGAGGUAGAUGGAAUUUCUGGUGUAGGGGUAAAAUCCGUAGAGAUCAGAAGGAAUACCGAUUGCGAAGGCGAUCUACUGGAACAUUACUGACGCUCAGAUGCGAAAGCGUGGGGAGCAAACAGGAUUAGAUACCCCUGUAGUC